AGUGAACGCUGGCGGUAGGCCUAACACAUGCAAGUCGAACGGCAGCACAGUAAGAGCUUGCUCUUACGGGUGGCGAGUGGCGGACGGGUGAGGAAUACAUCGGAAUCUACUUUUUCGUGGGGGAUAACGUAGGGAAACUUACGCUAAUACCGCAUACGACCUACGGGUGAAAGCAGGGGAUCUUCGGACCUUGCGCGAUUGAAUGAGCCGAUGUCGGAUUAGCUAGUUGGCGGGGUAAAGGCCCACCAAGGCGACGAUCGGUAGCUGGUCUGAGAGGAUGAUCAGCCACACUGGAACUGAGACACGGUCCAGACUCCUACGGGAGGCAGCAGUGGGGAAUAUUGGACAAUGGGCGCAAGCCUGAUCCAGCCAUACCGCGUGGGUGAAGAAGGCCUUCGGGUUGUAAAGCCCUUUUUUUGGGAAAGAAAAGCAGCAGGUUAAUACCCCGCUGUUCUGACGGUACCCAAAGAAUAAGCACCGGCUAACUUCGUG
This 492-nucleotide ribosomal RNA is filed under the name uncultured bacterium. Its description in RNAcentral is "partial 16S ribosomal RNA". It matches the Rfam family "Bacterial small subunit ribosomal RNA", at positions 29 to 507 of the family's 1533-position model. The record is from RNAcentral.